RNAcentral lists this ribosomal RNA (234 nucleotides) under uncultured bacterium. Its description in RNAcentral is "partial 16S ribosomal RNA". It matches the Rfam family "Bacterial small subunit ribosomal RNA", at positions 543 to 776 of the family's 1533-position model. The record is from RNAcentral.
GUUCGGAAUUACUGGGCGUAAAGCGCACGUAGGCGGAUUUGUAAGUCAGGGGUGAAAUCCCGGGGCUCAACCUCGGAACUGCCUUUGAUACUGCAAAUCUCGAGUCCGGAAGAGGUGAGUGGAAUUCCUAGUGUAGAGGUGAAAUUCGUAGAUAUUAGGAAGAACACCAGUGGCGAAGGCGGCUCACUGGUCCGGUACUGACGCUGAGGUGCGAAAGCGUGGGGGGCAAACAGG